This is a long non-coding RNA of Clarias gariepinus (North African catfish), 446 nucleotides long. RefSeq lists it as uncharacterized. The record is from RefSeq and is a predicted model, not a curated record. Lineage: Eukaryota; Metazoa; Chordata; Actinopteri; Siluriformes; Clariidae. The transcript has 6 exons.
UAAGGGAGGACAUUAUGUUCCAGGUGCAUCUCAUUGUUUUAUCAGGUCUGAAUACACAGUGUCAGCUCCUUCACUGCUCUUUCCUAGUGGACAACAGUCACUGAUUUAACAUUCACGUCGCGGGGGCCUGGAGCCUAUCCCAGGAGGCUUAGGGCAUGAGGCGGGGUACACCCUGGACAAGGAGAAAACCGGAGUACCCGGAGGAAACCCACCAAGCACGGGGAGAACAUGCAAACUCCAUGCACACAGAGACGGGAAUCAAGCCUGGCCGGGAAUCGGAUCCGGACCCUGGAGGUGCAAGGCGACAGUGCUAACUCCAGUACUACACCACCGUGCCGCCCAGUGUGACCUUCACAGUGUUCCUGAAGUGUUCAUAUCAGUUUGUGCCAACCUGUGAGUAGAUCAGAUUACUGGUUCCAGCUACAGAAUCACCUAGAACAAAAUCG